GGGAGAUGAUCUGAUUAGAAAUUCAAAUGAUCAUUGUAACCAUACACAGUUUGUCCUUGUUCAAUAAUUCCGCAAGUCAUAGUUGAAGGAAAACAUGGUUUAGAAAAAAGUGUGGUGCAUCCAACAAAUUAUAUUUAUUACAAAAAUUGCUAUCCACUACAUUAAUGCUGACUCCAAAUCUUCAAUAUGGAACUUCAAAAUGGCAGGAAAAAGGAGUUCCACUCAUUCUUCUGAUUGCCUUUGUCCUAAAACUGGAAUGUCUUCAUAAUGCUUCUGUAAUAUAAGGAUCACAAUUCAGGUCAGAGGUAAUACGAGAAAUGUGCUGGAGCAGCAAUUAGAUAUUGCAAUCAGAGUUCAUAAGUUGAGUUUCCCUCACGUCUCAAUUGAGAAUGAUAUUUAGAACAACCAAUUCAUAUUAAUUAAAGGCAGUUACGCAUUGCUAUCUGAAACUACAGUGGAGGGAAAUACACAAACAAGCAAUAUAACCCAAAAUCUCAAAUCAGUGAAAUCAGGAAAAUUGUUUCAUCCCAAACAAGAAAUAAAUUUGUUUGGCCUACAAAAUUGGACAAUUUAGAAGGCCAUCCAACAUUUUCUGAAACAAAUUCAUGAAAGAUAAUUUCCCUAAAAGGCUCUUGCGUUAAAUUCAAAAGAAGGAUAAGUUGGAAGGGGGGAUUUGUUGAAGUUGUUUCUACAAUUGAGGCCUAAUAAAUGGAACCCUGAAAACCUUGUUUCCAAAACAAAGGCAGUGAUAUUACAAAUUAGUCACACCACAUGUAUCCUUCUAAUUUACCUUACUUUCAAUGUGAUCUCCCUCCAUAAAAGCAUACAACAACUAAGAAAGGUAUUAGCAAGUUAACAAACUAGCUUUUCAACAAAAAAUCAGAAGUCCUAUAGUACUAGUAAACUGCUCUAGCUAACAAGAACCAUAUUCUAACUCUUGCUCAAUGUUGUGAAACCAAGCACAGGGAAGAUUCCCAAUAUUAACUGAAAACAAAGCAAAGAAUGACUAAAAAAGUGGGAAAGUCUUAUAUCUACUUGACAAGAACACAAAAUUAGGAAUUCUUCGGCAAAAUAUCAUUGUUGAUGUAUAAGACGGAACUAUAUCAUUUGUUUGCCCAAAUGUAUUGUUGUUAUUAGAUAAACACUGCAUGUUAGCCCUCAUUCCAUCACAAGAUAUUUCCUUGGCUAAUGAGCAACGGUAUAUGAGUGUUGAUAACUGUGGAAAAUUUUAUAUAUAAUUUAAUGAAAUAUCAUAUGGAUAUAUCAUUAAAGUUGUUAUCUGUUAAAUACAAAGCUUACGCGAUUUACAGAUUUAUAUAGCAACCUUAAAUAAAUAAGGAAUAUAGGAGAGUAUACAUACCCCAGCAUUGUUGUAAUCCCAAAGCUUACGAACUCCAUAAUCCACAGCCCGUUCACCGGCGAAAGCUCCAGCAAUAACGAAGGUGACGUAGAUGGAGUUGCGGCACAUGAUGAGCCUGUAGAGACCUUCAAAGAGGCCGCCUUGACUUCUUCGAGUGGCAUACUCCAUGGCUAUCGCUUUCAAUGUCGUGAGUCGGAUCUGAGGGUCUUUGGUUUGCAGAGGGUAACAACGAGGGACAGAGAUGCUGUUCGUUAACUGGGAAUCGUUAAUCGGAACGAUGAUGUGUAUUGGAUACCCAUAGAUAAAAACGGGUAGUCAGUGAUCAAC
Molecule: unclassified non-coding RNA, 1687 nt
Filed under: Hevea brasiliensis (rubber tree)
Lineage: Eukaryota; Viridiplantae; Streptophyta; Magnoliopsida; Malpighiales; Euphorbiaceae
Source: RNAcentral